AUGUGUUCUUCUCUGGCAGGAACACAUUGCGUUAGACAAUUUCAGAAUACAAACAUUCAGUUUGCACAUCCAUCAUCACUGUGUUCUCUGAACUUUGAAGUAUGCUUUGGCGAACACACUACAGAGAGGACCUCUGUCCAAUCAUCACUCUGUCUCCCUAUGCUCCCCCUCCUCCGUCAACCGCGGCGGCGCGUCACGGUCCAAGAACUCCUUCACCGCGGAAGGGAAUGCAAUGGCUGCUCUAUCCUCGGGACCUUCUCCAUCCCAGGACCACGAGGCCUUGGCGACCAACAGAUGCGCCAGCCUCGCGGGCUCCCUGCACUCACCGCCACCGCCGUCGCCGUAGUAAUGCUGGAUCCAGCCGUCCACCCUCCUCUUCUCCUUUUCGCACUUGGGCCCGACCACUCCGACGACCUUCGCCAUGAACCCGUCGCCGCCGCUGCAGUCGCACCCGCCGCUGUCGCCUCCGUCGUCGCCGAACCAUGGCGGCGGCGACAGGCCGAUAAGCGCCAUCAGCCGCGCUAUGUCCGCCCCGCUAUCGCCGUCGUCGUCGGAGUCGGAGUCUUGUUGGGGCUCCUGCACGCGCACCUCAUCUUUGGAGAGGGUGAGGAAGUCCAGCGCCGGGCCACUGCUCUCGCCGGCGCCGCCGCCGCGGUCGGUGGCCGUGGCCGUCGACGCGCCGAGGAAGAGCGGGGAUGCGGUCAUGGUGUCCGAGAAAAGCGGCGGCGCGACGGGCUGUCGGGGCGCCGGCCGCUGCUCCUCCGCCGCCAACCGGUCUUCCACCUGAGGAGGAAAUCGCCAUUCGUCAGAAGGGGGAGGCGGCGCGGCGGGGCCGUGAGGGAUUACAGCUGUGGGUUGGGUACCUGCUUGAGGGACGCGAAGAAGCUGGUGUGCCGCGAGAAGGGCUGCAUCGUGUGGUGUCGCGGCCGCCGCCGGCAGGGUGCAGUGCAAACGCCAACCGAUGCGAAAAUGGCUUCCGCUGCCGAAAUUUCCUUUUUAGGUUUUUUCUUUAGGAUCUCCCUUUUUAGGUUUUUUUGA
This 1038-nucleotide ribosomal RNA is filed under the name Triticum aestivum (bread wheat). RNAcentral's name for it is "partial small subunit ribosomal RNA". The record is from RNAcentral. Lineage: Eukaryota; Viridiplantae; Streptophyta; Magnoliopsida; Poales; Poaceae.